GGCCAACUAGUUCAGUGGUUAGAGCGUUGUGUUAAUAUGUUUUCGCUGCCCUAUCCAGUAUUAGCGCGAAGGUCUUGGGUUCGGUCCCUACGUUGGCCA
Marasmius tenuissimus is the source of this 99-nucleotide non-coding RNA. NCBI's taxonomy places the organism in Eukaryota, Fungi, Basidiomycota, Agaricomycetes, Agaricales, Marasmiaceae. The record is from the annotation of a GenBank genome assembly.